AGCUUACCAUGCAGUCGAACGGAAAGGUCUCUUCGGAGAUACUCGAGUGGCGAACGGGUGAGUAACACGUGGGUGAUCUGCCCUGCACUUCGGGAUAAGCCUGGGAAACUGGGUCUAAUACCGGAUAGGACCACGGGAUGCAUGUCUUGUGGUGGAAAGCGCUUUAGCGGUGUGGGAUGAGCCCGCGGCCUAUCAGCUUGUUGGUGGGGUGACGGCCUACCAAGGCGACGACGGGUAGCCGGCCUGAGAGGGUGUCCGGCCACACUGGGACUGAGAUACGGCCCAGACUCCUACGGGAGGCAGCAGUGGGGAAUAUUGCACAAUGGGCGCAAGCCUGAUGCAGCGACGCCGCGUGGGGGAUGACGGCCUUCGGGUUGUAAACCUCUUUCACCAUCGACGAAGGUCCGGGUUCUCUCGGAUUGACGGUAGGUGGAGAAGAAGCACCGGCCAACUACGUGCCAGCAGCCGCGGUAAUACGUAGGGUGCGAGCGUUGUCCGGAAUUACUGGGCGUAAAGAGCUCGUAGGUGGUUUGUCGCGUUGUUCGUGAAAUCUCACGGCUUAACUGUGAGCGUGCGGGCGAUACGGGCAGACUAGAGUACUGCAGGGGAGACUGGAAUUCCUGGUGUAGCGGUGGAAUGCGCAGAUAUCAGGAGGAACACCGGUGGCGAAGGCGGGUCUCUGGGCAGUAACUGACGCUGAGGAGCGAAAGCGUGGGGAGCGAACAGGAUUAGAUACCCUGGUAGUCCACGCCGUAAACGGUGGGUACUAGGUGUGGGUUUCCUUCCUUGGGAUCCGUGCCGUAGCUAACGCAUUAAGUACCCCGCCUGGGGAGUACGGCCGCAAGGCUAAAACUCAUGAGAAAUUGGCAGCGGA
This 874-nucleotide ribosomal RNA is filed under the name Mycobacterium tuberculosis. Its description in RNAcentral is "bacterial SSU rRNA". It matches the Rfam family "Bacterial small subunit ribosomal RNA", at positions 45 to 920 of the family's 1533-position model. The record is from RNAcentral. Lineage: Bacteria; Bacillati; Actinomycetota; Actinomycetes; Mycobacteriales; Mycobacteriaceae.